This is a long non-coding RNA of Amphiprion ocellaris (clown anemonefish), 2168 nucleotides long. RefSeq lists it as uncharacterized. The record is from RefSeq and is a predicted model, not a curated record. The transcript has 2 exons. Lineage: Eukaryota; Metazoa; Chordata; Actinopteri; Pomacentridae.
CCCCCGACCCGCCGGUUGUUUUGGCUCCGGAAGCCCGUGCCCUCCUCCGAAAAUGCUGUCGGCCCGGUCCCCUCAGCAGGGAGUGUGGUCCGGGAAGCCCCGCUGCCCGCUGACAGUGGUAGUGGAGGAGACAGUAACCUCCAGGACAGGGAGGCUGUCUGUCUGCCUGGACCUCCUGUCAGACUCUAGAGUUUUCCCUGGGAAAUGAUCCGGGUGUUUUGAUUAAUUGUUGUAAAAUUAGUGGUGAAUUGUUUAUAUAAACGUUUUAAUAAAAAUAAAUAAGACUCCCAUUUAUCCUUUUUUCUGUAGUUAUAUUGUCUAAAAUUGUGGAGGAUAUUUAAAGCUUAAAAUGAAGUGUUUUUAGAAUCUUUAAAUGUAUUCUUUUUAUGUCUUUUUGUUUUGUUUGAUUUACAAAGUAAACACUACGUUAACAACCAUACAUUAAAUUGCAACAUUCCAUAAUACAUAAAAGUCUCAAAGAGGCACUUCACUAGAACUUACUAGAAUUUACUCACUAACUUUUGUUUUAAUGAUGGCAGCUAAAGAAGCCUUUAAGUUCCUCAAGUUAAUGACUAUUUUGUAAUGCAAUUUGCACUUUUAUUUACUACAAAGACAUGUUGGAACAAUUUAUUUUAUUUUAUAAGAACAGUAAAUGUUUAAAAGUUUAAGUAUUAUUAAAGAGUUUAUUUAAAUACAAACACUGGGUUUUUUUCUUUCAUAAUGUCGAUAAUCGUGAAUAAUCGUAAAAUCGCAAUAUUUCCUUCCACAAUAAUCGUGGCUCAAAAAAUUGAAAUCGUGACAACCCUAGUCCUGAUAUUGAUCAGGAAGUAUUGAUCAGAAUACUUAUGGUUAGCAGUCAUCCCUGAAGUUUUACAUUAAAAUUUUUACUUGUGUUGUGGACUUUGGUAAGAAGCAGAAACGGUAGCGUUGCCAUGGAUACAUGAGUGUUAAAUUCUGUCCAUGUUUCCAUUUUGGGAAAUUCAGUCCAGUUCCAGAAUGUGGAGGAAUUUAGUCUCAAUCACACUCAACAAAUAUUAUCUGAAAGUCGGGUUAUUGUUGUUUAUUAGCACAAUACAAAAAGAUUAAUGUUAUAAAUAUUCCAGUUAAGACUCUAGAAUAUCAUGAUUUAUGUAAAUUUACCUCAAUAAUAGGAAUGUUCAGGUUAAGAUUGUGCAGUGAUAUUUAUUAUGUAAGUUUAGCUGAUUAAAGUUUAUGACUCUGCACUAAAACAUUAUUUAAAUUAACAUCAUUAUUAUAAUAUUUAGGGUCAGACCCUACAGUAUUGAGAUUAAGAAAUCAAAUAUUCUAUAAAAUGUAAAUACACUGAACUCAUUUGGAUAUAUUUAAGUGAGACUCUACAAUAUUAUUUGACACAAAUCUAUCUAAAUCAAAAUUUUAAUAAUUUUCAUGCCAAACAUUUACUGGACUGAUUUAAAUAUUAAAAUCACUCCUUUCUAAUCCUCUGCUGUACAUUCAAACCUGAGGCCUUAAAUAGAAACACAAGUAUCUGAUUGAAGGAACUUCUGCAGAGUCCUGGUUCCAGAACAUGAUGAUAGAAUUAUAGACAAACUUUAACAAAAGCUGCCUGAGAGUUUACAGGUUUUUAUGUUGGAUUUCUUCAGUAAUUUAAUGAGUUAUCAGCAAAAAUCAAGUGUUCAUUUGAUGAACUUCAUUUCCUAAAACAUCCAGAAUUGGAGCUCAUAUCUUUGGCAGCUGUAAAGUUUCUGCUCCUUCAAAGUUCACAACACAAUGGAUGAAUUCCUAAAAAACUCUCAAUGCUGGAGAGCGUUUGUGAUGCUGAAGCAGUGAUCAGUUUUUCUGUUUCUUCUCUGGAGAUGCACAAUGAGGGACGUCUGCAGAGACUGAGAAAGAGUCUCACCACAUCCUUACAUGAGGAAAAAGACUUUAUUGAAGACUACAAUGAGAAAAACUAUCAGACAGCUGCAUUCAAGUCUGUAGCUGCUGAAUUCAUGGAUGAAUCAUCUGGCACUAGAGAGGAAGACCAUCAAACAUCCACGUCAGCUGAUGGAGGUCCAAGAGUCUCACCAAACAAACAACCUACAGAGUGAAGACCUCGAAUCUGAUUGGACGGCCUCCUAUUCAGCCACGUGUCAACAAAUGCCUCGAAGUUGAUUUGUUUUCUAAAAUAAAUCUAGUUUGAGUCCUAA